Molecule: long non-coding RNA, 5703 nt
Organism: Alligator mississippiensis (American alligator)
Lineage: Eukaryota; Metazoa; Chordata; Crocodylia; Alligatoridae
Exons: 4
Source: RefSeq, a predicted model, not a curated record
GGGAGGUGCCGGCUGCUGAGCCCCCCGCACAAAGGGAAGGGCCUGGUCCCCCCAUGCAAGGGGUUGGGAGGCCAUGUGGGGGUCAGGGGUGCUAGGUAAGGGGGGCCCCAUCUGGGUGCUGCUGCUCGCGGGUGUCGCUUGCGCGGGGAUCCCGGGCCCCGCUCCCCCCCGCGGGCCUCGGCCGGGGUGAAACUGACCAGCUGUUUCCCUCUGCCCUGGCCGAGCUCCCUCCCCACAAAGCCGGUCUCCAGGUGGCUGCUGAGGAGCGCAGCAAUGGGUGGCUUGCCCGGCUUCAAAAACACGCUUCUGCCUCAGAUGUUGUGCACUAGGUUUGUUGCACCUCCUCACCCUUUGCAAAUGCCUGGAUCUGGAAGGAGGUGGCCUGAGGAAUGGACACGGCCUGGACAGAUGCAGUGCGAGUUUCUCCCACACCGCAUCACCCUAUGCGUCUGUCCCCUUACCUGGAGAGAGCACCUGGACUAAGGAGAGAAUUCAGUCCAUUCACUCCUCUGUGUUGCUGGGACAGAUGCUGAGGCACGCUGCAGGACCAGGCUUUGUGGAAUGGGACUGAUGCCAUCAGUUUGCAGAAGCCAUCAAACAGUCACGAGAUGGUCUAGUCUUCACUGCCCCUCAAACUAUGCUACCCCAGAUGUGAUGGUCACCCUGGAUCCCCAGCCAGUUGCUGCCUGACCUAGUGUCCUUAAUGCCUCCACCGCAGCGAGCGGCUGUUCCUGAGCAUUUGAUCCCCGGCUGAAAUGCCCCACCGCAUCCGACACGCAGAUCUGGGCUCCAGACCAAGCAGCUGGCCACACAAUGAGGUUGUUCCUGGGGACUGGCAAGGGGCAGUCCUCGUCAAGCAGGAGGCACCAGGCUGGCUGAGUUGCAACAGGGUGGGAUCCUCUGCACAGGUAGGCAGAUCUGGGUUGAGGAGGCUGAUGCGGGCAGAUCACCGCCGCGUACCCGGGGGCUUCGGUUGAAGCUGUUUGUUCACACGCUGCUGACUACAUCCAGCUCAUCUGUCUGCGGCUUUGCCUCAGCCCCCACUGGAAUGGUUUGCGGAUCAGAGUCUGGGCUCGGGCUUUCUUUGCCUGCCGGCUGGGAAGCAAAGAGAAAGCUUUGCUCUGUCACUUGUGCUUCUCAUGUGCUUGGUGUCUCUGGGACCAGAGGGGUUCUGGUUCACCUCGUCCCUCCUUCCAGGCAGGUGCUGGGGUCUUCAGCUGAUGACCCCAUGCAAGGAGUCCCCUGCCCUGCUCAGGCCUGGUCCUGGGCCGGACCCAUCUUGAGCUGCAUCUUCAGCCCCUGGGUCCGUCUGUGCUGGUCCCUCGGCCUGUCUUGGAGGUCUUUGCAUUCCUGCGCUGUCCCUCCACCCUUCCUCUCCAUGCUCAUUCCUCCAUGCCUUUCUCGCAGCACCAGCAAUUCUUCCCCCACCUGGUUUGCCAGAGCCCCUGGCCAUGUGCUGAGCACUGGGAGAGUGCUGCCCACUAGUGCCAGCAGCAGGGAUUCCCAUGUAGCCCGGGGUUUGCUUAGAGGAGGGAUUUACUCCUCUAAGCACCCUGGGGUCUCAUGAGCUUUUGAGUGUGCCGUGCACUAUUAGCACGGUGAAGUGUGCAAACACAUGUGUGCGACUCCCAAGGUAAGCCCAGAGGCAGAGAAUAGGAACCCAGAGUGUCCCAGGCAUUCAGAGUUUUUUUGCAACAGCAAUAUUGCAAAUAUCUAUAUAUGUAUCUAGUAUAAAUAUUUAUAUUAUUAUUAUCUAUAUUCGUAUUUGGAAAUAUCUAUUAUUUCCCAUAGUCGAGAAGCCAGUGAAAGCAAUGCGCUGGGCUUGUUCGAGGGGUGCCUGGAGUCUAAAAAGUUUGGCACAGGACUGCAAAACCCCAGUGCGCCCUUUUGGGGACUCUAGUGUGAAAUCCCAGCCCUUUCUUCCCUCCUCCACAUAUGCGUAUCCCCAGGGGCUAAGCCUUGGGCACAAAUCCUGAAAGACUGUCAUUGCAGGGCAGCCAGCGGGUGCCUGCUGCGCGAGUCGCGGCAGUCCCUUUCCCAGAGGCGGCUGUGAUGGAGGCUGUCAAAGCCUGUUGUUAGUGAUUCAUGCUGGGGACACCUUACCUCUGUCUCCCAGCAUGACCAUUAAGGGGACAUAAAGCUGAGGUCCUGACCAUGACAGGCCCUUAUGGACCCCAGAGCAUUUUCCAUGUGCCUCAUAGCACAGCUGAGCCCCCUGGGAAUGUGCAGUUACCUCCUGCCCCCGUCACAUCCCCUGCCUGCCUCCAUGGCCGGGGGCCUUGGCACAGCCCUUUGGAGCUGGUGUGCGAUGCACUCGGAUGCUGCCAACCAGGUGCCACCUUUUAUUUGGCAGAGGCCAGUGCAAGCUCGAUCUGUCACCCCUGGGGCAGCGGGUGGGCCCUGAUUGUGUGCUGGAGUCUCUGCCUGGGCACCAGUGGUGCCCACCGGCCCAGCUGCCUCGCUGUCCAGCCUGGGAGCCCUGCUGGCACAUGGUCCACAUCUCCCUCCCUCCGGCUGAGGGGUGAAUGGGCCGGUCUCCUGCCCCUCAGCCCAGCCAGGAGUGCACACAGGGGUGCCCUGACACCCUGCGUCCCUUCUCCGAGUGCUCGGUGGGGGAAUAUGCUUGGUGUCCAUCACCCUUGGGUCAUGCAGGCCUGUUCCAGUGUGGGCAUCACAUGUGCCAGGGUAAAACUCCAGCUUAUGGCAGAGCCUGGGGCCGAGGGCAAGGUCUUAGUCUCCGUCCUGGACACAGGAGAAACCAGAGACUUGAUCCAGUCCUUUAACCAAUGUUCCCUCCAGGACAAGGGCCCUUUUCUCAGCGCCCACAGCUCUAGCCUAGACUUCAUCCCUGCUCAGCCCCCAGUGGCGUGCUCCGGGCAGCCGGAGGCAGGUGGUGUCUGCGGGGUGGAAGGGGGGGAUUUCUCCUUUGCCAUGUUUAAUUUGCCUUCAAGGGCCUGUUGGGUCUGCAGGACGGGUCAGAAGGACUGAGCCCAGCGUGCGGCUUAGCCCGUCUCGGGGGCACGGAGGUGAGGGAGACCCAGGGGCCGGGUGAGGGGGAAGCAGAGAUGGGGUGAUAUGGGGCAUGUGGUCCACUUCUGCUUCUCCCCGUCUGUGGAGGCCGGGGCGAUCCGGAGGCUCCUGUGAGACCUCGGCAAGGUGCAGCUGGCUCGGCCGCCCGAGGCUCUUCAGGGUGUGUGUGUGGCAGGGGCGGCCCGGAGCUGGUGCACGGCUCUGGGUGGUUUUAAUUACCCUGGAAAUAAAUCAGAGCCUGACUGUUGCUGUGGAAACAGCCAGGCUUGGCUUUGCAGCAUCCAGCAGCCGUUGGCUGCUCCAUUUCAUUAACCUUAGAGGAGGCGCGGGAGGCUCUCGGGGGGAGUGUGGGGCAUGUCGAUGCAGCCCCAGAGGACGGGGCAGCCGCUGGCCAGAGGCAGAUUCCAGCCCCAGCUCCAAGCCCCUCUGCUGGGCCAGGAGUUCAGCAAGCACCGGGCACAAGGCACGUGCGGGGCUCAGGGUCCGAUGCUCAUGGGGACAGGGUGGGAUGGGGCAAACAGGAGAGCCAGGGCUGAGCGCAGCCCUGGGGAGGAACCGGGGGCUCCGCUCCUCACAGCGGCAUGGGGCAGCUGGGCUGUGGGGUUGGUGCAAGCUGAGAGCCUGGCCUGGAGCCGUUGUGUGCAUCUGCACUCCCCCCUCCCAGGGCCAUGCAUGCGCCCGGCUCUCACAUGCAUGCCCUGAGCAUGCACGGAUCAGGGGCUGCAUGUGCGAGUGUGCAGCAGGUAGGAGAAAUCAGCCAUUUUGCCAGGGUAGCUGUGGUCACCGACAUGCUGAGCCCAGCCCCAGCUGCAGUCCCCAGAGCGGGGCUCUCUCAGCCCCGCUGAGCUGCACAGGUCAGGAUUGAGGCUCCGGGACCCCCUCUCUGUACCAGCCAUGCCACGCGGCAAGUGCCAAAUCUGCUUAGCUGCCUCCCCUCUUGGAGAGACAUGCUUCCCCGUGGCACAGACGUGCUAUUAAAUAUUUAAUCUCUGGGCUCAGGCCUUUCUUAUUCCGUUGGCAAUAAUCUUGCUGGGACAGAUGGUUCUCCGCUGGCCUAGAUAGCUGGCAGGAGCUCGCGGAGCUGGGGAGGGUAAGGCACGCUGGGCCGGCGGUUAACAGCCCAGCCCUCUGCAGCCAGGCUUUGCCGGCCCCUGCAGUGCUCCAGGAGCCAGGCGGCAGACCUGGGCUCUAUCCCAGCCUCCUCGUCGUGUGCGGUUUGCUGCUGCACGGGCUUUACUGGGAGCACUGGGGCUCCAGUGAUGGAACCGGUUGAUUGGCUGUGUUGGGUUUGGGCAAGGCCAGGCCGGGGCAUGCCUGGCCCCUGGGGGUGGUGGGGGACGUAAUGGUGUUAGUCCUCUUUUGCUGCUGGGCUAGCGAGGUGGAGGGGAGGAGAUCACUGGUCUCUGCUGCCUGCUGGGCCUGGCUUGUGCCUGGGCCGUGUUGGCAAGCAGGGCAAGCGUGUGGCUCAAGGCUGCGGGGACUCAUCCCUCGUGUCCUGGAGGGGAGCAGAGCACAGGUCGCCUGAGGAUGGCCACAGGCCCCACAACAGGACUCAGCUCCUGGUGCAUUGGAGCAGCAGGGAGGCUUUGCUGGCAUGUGCCCCCUCUCCAGCAGCCCUGAGUCCUGCUAGGAAGAGAUGUGGUGUCAGAUCCCCCAGCCACAUGUGGCUUGGCCCCUGGCCAUGUGGCACAAGGUUUCUGCUAGCCAUUGGGGCUCAGGAUGAGACCCCCUAACUCAUCCCACCUGCUUUCUUGGUUGAAUUUGACCCAGCUUAUUCCAAGGGGCUUGUACCCGGCCUUGCACCUCUCUGCCCUCUUAGGCGCUGUGUUUCAGGCACUCCCUGGGCCACCAAGGGUCUGAUUCACAUACAGAAAGCUUGGGCGUGGAGCCUGAGCAGCACACGGGCACUGGGGGCCCAGGCCAGGGCCGGGGCCAGGCAGCUGCAGAGUUAUUUUUUCCCCAAGCAGAGCAGCUGGAUAAACCAAGCACGGUGUAAAGCGAGCGCAGGGCGGGAGCAUCAUCUAGUGGCAGGGUGCGACCGCUGCACAGAUGGGCGCAGAAGGAAAGCGCGUGCAGGCCAUGCGCCAGGAAGUGGGAGAUGUGGCCCCUUCCCUUCCCUUCCCUUCCUUUAGGCUGGUGUCUAGCCCCGCACACGGGGAUCCAGGCCCUGGGAGGGGGGGUCAUAGCCAGCUCCGAGUUUUUGCUGCAUGACAGGGGUCUUGGAAGAGGUGGGUGGAAGUGGAGCUUGCCCCCAAGAGCUGGGACGUGCUCAGGCUCUGCUCCCUUUCUGGGCCUCCCAGCAGUGGGAGCAGUGGCACUGGGUUGCAGGGCCUCCUCCCUGCCUGCCCCCCUUGGCACACGCAUCCACAGGCCCAGAAACCACGUGUCCCCGCCUCCAACACGCCCCCUAUCUAUAUCUCCCAGGAACAACCCAGCAUGCCCCCACCACACCUACCCCAACUCAUAUGCAACAUGCCUCACCAAAUGUAGCCCAGAAACACCCAACCCCCCCACCACACCCCUGAUAUGCACCCCCACAACACGUUUAGCUCCCAGAAACACCCGCAACACAUCCCUGAUGUCUCCAGUGCAUCUCCCAAUGUAUAUCUCCCAGAAACACCCCCCACGACAGCCCUUCAACACACUCCUGCCACCAUCACCAACAUGUGACCC